Molecule: long non-coding RNA, 440 nt
Organism: Peromyscus eremicus (cactus mouse)
Lineage: Eukaryota; Metazoa; Chordata; Mammalia; Rodentia; Cricetidae
Exons: 2
Source: RefSeq, a predicted model, not a curated record
UCUGGCAUGUGUCCACUAUUACUGUGGUCACAGAUGACAAAUUCUGAUGUCAGCACAGUGGGAUUGAGUCUAAAAAGCAACUUCUCCUCCAAGGGAAGAGAACGGGCCUCCUCCAAGGCCUGCCCUACCGACCAUCAGCCGCCUCCUCCACUCUCCCACAGGCCUGUCUAUUCCCCGGCUGUCUGGCUUGCUUUGUUCUUAAGAAACCAACCAACCAAUACCAGCAGACCAAGCUUUCUUAAAGAGUCGUGAAAUCACAGACUGUGAAUGAGGGAGGCAGCUCUGAAACCCAGACCCAAUCCCUCUGCCUCUCUGAAAAGGUAUCUGUGGGCACAGGAGAGCUCAGGACAUGCCGUCCUGGGGCCACAGGAGGAAGGACUCUCAAACGUGAAGAAACCACCCUUGGCAAACAACUGGAUAGUAAAGUUCACACAACACAA